GCGGAAGCCGCCGGGGCUGGCGGCCGGGCCGCGGCGCGGCGGGCGCGGGAGCCCGGCGCUGCGUGGGGAAGAGGUGCUGUUGGCCCCGCUCGCCCUGCUACGCAGCCUGGGCGGACGGACCGUUUCUGCAGGAUUCUGGCGAACCUGUACUGAGUGACAAGGCGGUCUCGCUCCUUGUGUAGCUAACUAGGUCACUGUCAGCACUUAAUUACUGUUUGUUUCAUUUUAGUGCAUGCCUUAUGAAUAAGCCGGCUAUUAGGCUGAUGCUUCAAGUUACACUAUCCAGCACCAAGGAAAUAACAGAUGGAAAAAUGGAUUACAUAAACACUGUUGUAAAUAUGUAGGCAUCCAUCCUUUCCACUGCCUGGGUGCCAGAAGAGGGAGCACUGAGAACAGUGGAGCCCCAGCCUUAAUUCCAGUCCCCACUGCUGCCUCAGAGGAGAGUUACAUAGCAGAGGAUGAAGCAUUCAGGGUUGGAACAGUUCUCAGUUCAACUGCGGUUACAGCAUCUCAGUCCAGACCGCCUGGAACAGUUUGA
Molecule: long non-coding RNA, 538 nt
Filed under: Dromaius novaehollandiae (emu)
Lineage: Eukaryota; Metazoa; Chordata; Aves; Casuariiformes; Dromaiidae
Description: lncRNA (ENSDNVG00000008301.1)
Source: RNAcentral